UGGGGAUGAUGAGCAAACAGAUAGGGACAACCGACCGCGCCUUUGGUGUGGAAUGGCGAGGAAAGUCUUUUACAGUCCAGUUUUUAGUAGAGCUUUGGACACCAUCUCUGACC
Molecule: small nucleolar RNA, 113 nt
Filed under: Huiozyma naganishii CBS 8797
Lineage: Eukaryota; Fungi; Ascomycota; Saccharomycetes; Saccharomycetales; Saccharomycetaceae
Description: Kazachstania naganishii CBS 8797 Small nucleolar RNA snR64
Rfam family: Small nucleolar RNA snR64
About the family: snR64 is a member of the C/D class of snoRNA which contain the C (UGAUGA) and D (CUGA) box motifs. Most of the members of the box C/D family function in directing site-specific 2'-O-methylation of substrate RNAs.
Source: Rfam by way of RNAcentral